CAUGUCUCUAUGGUUUCCUUGCUGCCCUACAGUCAGUCAGUCAGUCCAUUAUGCUGUGGGUGAGGUUAACAACAUGUCUCUAUAGUUUCCUUGCUGCCCUACAGUCAGUCAGUCAGUCCAUUAUGCUGUGGGUAAGGUUAACAACAUGUCUCUAUAGUUUCCUUGCUGCCCUACAGUCAGUCAGCCAGUCCAUUAUGCUGUGGGUAAGGUUAACAACAUGUCUCUAUAGUUUCAUUGCUGCCCUACAGUCAGUCAGUCAGUCCACUAUGCUGUGGGUGAGGUUAACAACAUGUCUCUAUAGUUUCCUUGCUGCCCUACAGUCAGUCAGCCAGUCCAUUAUGCUGUGGGUAAGGUUAACAACAUGUCUCUAUAGUUUCAUUGCUGCCCUACAGUCAGUCAGUCAGUCCACUAUGCUGUGGGUGAGGUUAACAACAUGUCUCUAUAGUUUCCUUGCUGCCCUACAGUCAGUCAGUCAGUCCAUUAUGCUGUGGGUGAGGUUAACAACAUGUCUCUAUGGUUUCCUUGCUGCCCUACAGUCAGUCAGUCCAUUAUGCUGUGGGUAAGGUUAACAACAUGUCUCUAUAGUUUCCUUGCUGCCCUACAGUCAGUCAGUCCAUUAUGCUGUGGGUGAGGUUAACAACAUGUCUCUAUAGUUUCCUUGCUGCCCUACAGUCAGUCAGUCAGUCCAUUAUGC
RNAcentral lists this long non-coding RNA (694 nucleotides) under Salmo salar (Atlantic salmon). Its description in RNAcentral is "lncRNA (ENSSSAG00000102141.1)". Lineage: Eukaryota; Metazoa; Chordata; Actinopteri; Salmoniformes; Salmonidae. The record is from RNAcentral.